CAAUGGCGUAUAUUAAAGUUGUUGCAGUUAAAAAGCUCGUAGUUGGAUUUCUGAUCGAGACAUCAGGUCGGGUCCGAGAGGAUCAUGUACUUUGAUUUUGUUUUGAUCAUCCUUGGGGAGAGCAUUUCUGGCAUUCAGUUGUCGGGAUUGGGAUCCUCAUCGUUUACUGUGAAAAAAUUAGAGUGUUCAAAGCAGGCCUCGGCCUCUGAAUACAUUAGCAUGGAAUAAUAAGAUAGGACUUUGGUGGUCUAUUUUGUUGGUUUGCACGCCAAAGUAAUGAUUAAUAGGGAUAGUUGGGGGUAUUCGUAUUCAAUUGUCAGAGGUGAAAUUCUUGGAUUUAUGGAAGACGAACUACUGCGAAAGCAUUUACCAAGGAUGUUUUCAUUAA
RNAcentral lists this ribosomal RNA (388 nucleotides) under uncultured eukaryote. Its description in RNAcentral is "partial 18S ribosomal RNA". It matches the Rfam family "Eukaryotic small subunit ribosomal RNA", at positions 592 to 976 of the family's 1831-position model. The record is from RNAcentral.